GUAAUCGCGCAUCCACGGAGACGUACAGCGCCCCAGCUCUGUUAGCCCCAUCAGAGUCUAAUGCCACCAGUACCACCAACUUCCCCAACAUUCCUGUGGCUUCCACAAGUCAGCCGGCCAGCAUUCUGGCAGGCAGCCAUAGUGAAGGACUGUUGCAGAUAGCUUCAGGGCCUCAGCCAGGACAGCAGCAGAAUGGAUUCACUGCUCAGCCAGCUACUUACCACCAUAACAGCACUACCACCUGGACUGGAAGUAGGACUGCACCAUACACACCUAAUUUGCCUCACCACCAAAACGGCCAUCUUCAGCACCACCCGCCUAUGCCGCCCCAUCCUGGACAUUACUGGCCGGUUCACAAUGAGCUUGCAUUCCAGCCUCCCAUUUCCAAUCAUCCUGCUCCUGAAUAUUGGUGUUCCAUUGCUUACUUUGAAAUGGAUGUUCAGGUAGGAGAGACAUUUAAAGUCCCUUCAAGCUGUCCUAUUGUAACUGUGGAUGGAUACGUGGAUCCUUCUGGAGGAGAUCGCUUUUGCUUGGGUCAACUCUCCAAUGUCCACAGGACAGAAGCUAUUGAGAGAGCAAGGUAUGGUAAAAAUUGAAUAGUACAUUAACUUUUAUUCAAGACUAUUGUUUUUCUAUGAAUAGGAGUCUUAAAUAUAGAGUUAAGGUCGUUUUCAAUACUUAGAACUUGUGAGCUUCCAUUUUA
Molecule: long non-coding RNA, 703 nt
Filed under: Rattus norvegicus (Norway rat)
Lineage: Eukaryota; Metazoa; Chordata; Mammalia; Rodentia; Muridae
Description: long non-coding RNA NONRATT013917
Source: RNAcentral